RNAcentral lists this ribosomal RNA (493 nucleotides) under uncultured Beutenbergiaceae bacterium. RNAcentral's name for it is "partial 16S ribosomal RNA". The record is from RNAcentral. Lineage: Bacteria; Bacillati; Actinomycetota; Actinomycetes; Micrococcales; Beutenbergiaceae.
CACGUAGUUAGCCGGCGCUUCUUCUGCAGGUACCGUCACCGCAAGCGGCUUCUUCCCUACUGAAAGAGGUUUACAACCCGAAGGCCGUCAUCCCUCACGCGGCGUCGCUGCAUCAGGCUUUCGCCCAUUGUGCAAUAUUCCCCACUGCUGCCUCCCGUAGGAGUCUGGGCCGUGUCUCAGUCCCAGUGUGGCCGGUCACCCUCUCAGGCCGGCUACCCGUCAUCGCCUUGGUAGGCCAUCACCCCACCAACAAGCUGAUAGGCCGCGAGCCCAUCCCAGACCAGAAACCCUUUCAACAACCACCCAUGCAGGCAAAAGUUGAUAUCCAGUAUUAGCCCCGGUUUCCCGGAGUUAUCCCAGAGUCUGGGGCAGGUUACUCACGUGUUACUCACCCGUUCGCCACUAAUCAACCCAGCAAGCUGGGCAUCAUCGUUCGACUUGCAUGUGUAAAGCACGCCGCCAGCGUCGUCCUGAGCCAGGAGUCAAACGUCUA